This 76-nucleotide transfer RNA is filed under the name Deltaproteobacteria bacterium. RNAcentral's name for it is "tRNA-Thr". It matches the Rfam family "tRNA". Rfam says of the family: Transfer RNA (tRNA) molecules are approximately 80 nucleotides in length. The record is from RNAcentral. Lineage: Bacteria; Pseudomonadati; Myxococcota; Myxococcia.
GCUGACAUAGCUCAAUUGGUAGAGCAGCGGUUUUGUAAACCGCAGGUUGUGGGUUCAAGUCCCUCUGUCAGCUCCA